This 253-nucleotide ribosomal RNA is filed under the name uncultured bacterium. RNAcentral's name for it is "partial 16S ribosomal RNA". It matches the Rfam family "Bacterial small subunit ribosomal RNA", at positions 524 to 776 of the family's 1533-position model. The record is from RNAcentral.
UACAGAGGGGGCAAGCGUUAUUCGGAAUUAUUGGGCGUAAAGGGCGCGUAGGCGGCUUUGCAAGUGACGGGUGAAAUCCCUCGGCUUAACCGAGGAACUGCCUGUCAAACUGCAUGGCUUGAGACCGGGAGAGGUGAGUGGAAUUCCCAGUGUAGCGGUGAAAUGCGCAGAUAUCAGGAGGAACACCAAUGGCGAAGGCAGCUCGCUGGGACGGUACUGACGCUGAGACGCGAAAGCGUGGGGAGCAAACAGG